GUCUAUGGCCAUACAACCUUGAACACGCCCGCUCUUGUCUGAUCUCGGAACCUAAGCAGGGUCGGGCCUGGUUAGUAUUUGGAUGGAAACCCUGGUGGAGUAAUGGUUA
This 109-nucleotide ribosomal RNA is filed under the name Loxodonta africana (African savanna elephant). Lineage: Eukaryota; Metazoa; Chordata; Mammalia; Proboscidea; Elephantidae. The record is from RNAcentral.